AUAAAGUCAGCGCUGGUUUCGCUGCCGUGAAUUCUUUACUAAAAGGAACAGCGAGUCCUCAGCCACCGGAGCCCAGAGUGAGAGUUCUCUUAUAGCACACAGCUGCCAUGAGCCGCCGGGUGAUCGCACUCAUACUCUAUACACUGGGUUUCGGAUUUGUUUUGACCAGUGAUCAGAAAGACAAUCCGUCAAAAGAGCAUCCCUUUAAAGAAUACUCCACUGAAAAAACUAUAUUGGCACCUGAAGGCACUAAUAUCAUAUUAUAUAACAAUGUUAUCCAAGAG
Pelobates fuscus (common spadefoot toad) is the source of this 284-nucleotide long non-coding RNA. RefSeq lists it as uncharacterized. The transcript is spliced from 4 exons. The record is from RefSeq and is a predicted model, not a curated record. Lineage: Eukaryota; Metazoa; Chordata; Amphibia; Anura; Pelobatidae.